Molecule: ribosomal RNA, 253 nt
Filed under: uncultured bacterium
Lineage: Bacteria
Description: partial 16S ribosomal RNA
Rfam family: Bacterial small subunit ribosomal RNA
Source: RNAcentral
UACAGAGGUGGCAAGCGUUGUUCGGAAUUACUGGGCGUAAAGGGCUCGUAGGCGGCCAACUAAGUCCGACGUGAAAUCCCCAGGCUUAACCUGGGAACUGCGUCGGAUACUGGAUGGCUUGAAUUCGGGAGAGGGAUGCAGAAUUCCAGGUGUAGCGGUGAAAUGCGUAGAUAUCUGGAGGAAUACCGGUGGCGAAGGCGGCAUCCUGGACCGACAUUGACGCUGAUGAGCGAAAGCUAGGGGAGCAAACGGG